UGGAGGAAAGCAGGGGAUCGCAAGACCUUGCGCUUUUGGAGUGGCCGAUGCCUGAUUAGCUAGUUGGUGGGGUAAUGGCCUACCAAGGCGACGAUCAGUAGUUGGUCUGAGAGGACGACCAGCCACACUGGGACUGAGACACGGCCCAGACUCCUACGGGAGGCAGCAGUGGGGAAUUUUGGACAAUGGGCGAAAGCCUGAUCCAGCAAUGCCGCGUGAGUGAAGAAGGCCUUCGGGUUGUAAAGCUCUUUCAGUCGAGAAGAAAAGGUUGUGACUAAUAAUCACAACUCAUGACGGUAUCGACAGAAGAAGCGCCGGCUAACUACGUGCCAGCAGCCGCGGUAAUACGUAGGGUGCGAGCGUUAAUCGGAAUUACUGGGCGUAAAGGGUGCGCAGGCGGCUUUGUAAGUCAGAUGUGA
This 419-nucleotide ribosomal RNA is filed under the name uncultured ammonia-oxidizing beta proteobacterium. Its description in RNAcentral is "bacterial SSU rRNA". It matches the Rfam family "Bacterial small subunit ribosomal RNA", at positions 197 to 597 of the family's 1533-position model. Lineage: Bacteria; Pseudomonadati; Pseudomonadota; Betaproteobacteria. The record is from RNAcentral.